Amphimedon queenslandica is the source of this 112-nucleotide long non-coding RNA. RefSeq lists it as uncharacterized. The record is from RefSeq and is a predicted model, not a curated record. Lineage: Eukaryota; Metazoa; Porifera; Demospongiae; Haplosclerida; Niphatidae. The transcript is spliced from 2 exons.
AACUCCAAAGUACUUAUGGAACGCCAUCCUGGACAAAAUUCUUCAUCAAUAAUGUAAAUAUGGAAAGCUAAUCGAUGUAGCUAUUCAAGUGAUGGUAGCUACGAUUUUCUAA